Triticum urartu is the source of this 1470-nucleotide non-coding RNA. The record is from RefSeq and is a predicted model, not a curated record. Lineage: Eukaryota; Viridiplantae; Streptophyta; Magnoliopsida; Poales; Poaceae.
CUUGGGUCAAUUCCCCUGUUUUUUCACUGUCAUAUUCAUCAGCAAUUUCAGCGGCAGGGAGUGCUUGCCAUAGUGGAAACGAAGCAAGAACUGGAUGGAGCUCAGGAUUUUGCUACUACCUUGCUAAUAGCUUUGUGAGGCAUGUCACCGAUGACAAGUGCAAGAAGAAAGCACCGAGGAGAAUCCACAAAUCCAAGAGGCAGAAGCAUAAGCGCGUCCUGCUCAAUGAUCUCUUGGGUGAACUUAUCAAAAUGCUAGCCAUCCCACUCUCCCUGGAAGCCCCGCCCCCUGCUACAUUUUCAUGGUCACCGCCCCCAGGAACGGCUACAAGAUGAAGCGACGCACAAGGUUUCUUCUCGCCUUCUUCUGGUUUUUCUCUUUGAUAUCCAUUUGUUGCCUUGGGUAUUUCUUGAUUCCUUCUCUUGUGUGUGUGUGUGUGUGCGCGUGUGCGCGCGCCGGGUGGGAGCAUCUACUGCACUAAUAGAAUGCCAAGCAUAGGAAGAGGCUCCCCAAGAUGAUAUAUGCUUCUUCAGUUUACGCACAUUUUUUAGAACUUUUUUCACCCAAUGAUAAUUCAUUACUGCUUGAACUCUCCAUGGUCAGACAAUUUGGUUGGUGUCAUGUUCUGAAUGCAUGGUGAUAUUGAUCACGUACAAGGCUUUCCGAUUCAACCGCAAUUUCCAGGGUAGUUGUUCUAGCAGGAUAUUGUAUUUGUUACGGAAAACACGGAUGAGUAAUUACAUGAUAUAUUAUUAAUAUUAAACUGUGUUGUUUCUCUGAAACUAACUUGGUAUUUCAGCUAUGGAAACUGAUGUUCUAACCUUAGUUCCGUAGAUGAAUCUUUGUUGUCUUUUUCAGAAAGGGAAUGUCUGGUAUAUCUUUCUUUGUGGAUUUAUUCAAUGAGUUUUCUACAUUGGGCUGCAUUGUUAAGAAAGAGUUUGAUGAUGCCACAAGAGCAAGAAUUAAAAGUCGUUUGUAGAACCAUGUUUCCUCAUGGCAGGAGGCGAGCAAUACUUUACUAUUACAAUGUUCAUUUUCAAUACAAUCAGAAGUAUGACACUGAUUGUCAAUUGUGCGUUCAUGCAGGUUGCGUGUUCAUGCAAUACUUUACCCAUGAAAUGGCGUGUGAUUCAAGUUCUUCGACGGAAUGGGCCCAACUCAUUCAGUGAAGAAAUUUCAAGGUUCUCUUUCGGAACUGGUUUGAGCUUCUAUAAGUUCAGUUUGAAGAACAGUAUCACAGAAUAAGGAAUCAUGAAAAUAAUGAGGUAACAGCAGAGGGUGAGUGUUGCAAAAAAGAUUGACGACUGGAGCUAAAAACAGGCAAGAGAAUGUACAGAAAAGCCUUACUUUAGAUUUAGCCAGUAGAGCAUGUGCCCUUCGCAUAGGGAUAAUAACUUUUAGUAAAACAGCAGCACCGGUUUGAUUCAGGGUAUACAAUAUCUUACAAACAGUCAAGGAUUCACCAACUCA